GUGCCAGCCGCUGCGGUAAUACGUAGGGUGCAAGCGUUAUCCGGAAUUAUUGGGCGUAAAGAGCUCGUAGGCGGUUGCGCGUCUGCUGUGAAAACCCGAGGCUCAACCUCGGGCCUGCAGUGGGUACGGCAGACUAGAGUGCGGUAGGGGAGAUUGGAAUUCCUGGUGUAGCGGUGGAAUGCGCAGAUAUCAGGAGGAACACCGAUGGCGAAGGCAGAUCUCUGGGCCGUAACUGACGCUGAGGAGCGAAAGGGUGGGGAGCAAACAGGCUUAGAUACCCUGGUAGUCCACCCCGUAAACGUUGGGAACUAGUUGU
This 316-nucleotide ribosomal RNA is filed under the name uncultured Microbacterium sp. RNAcentral describes it as "bacterial SSU rRNA". It matches the Rfam family "Bacterial small subunit ribosomal RNA", at positions 505 to 823 of the family's 1533-position model. Lineage: Bacteria; Bacillati; Actinomycetota; Actinomycetes; Micrococcales; Microbacteriaceae. The record is from RNAcentral.